GCUCCUUUAAGCACACUAUGUGAAAUAACCUCAUCGAAUCUGCUCUGUUUUUAAACUCCUCCCCUCAGUGUAAUCAGUUAAACCCAACACCUGACACUGUUCAACUCGAACACACCUAAUUUCACGUCAUCAUCAGCUUCCGACACGAGAUACACGAUUUCCCACAAUCGCACUACUACAAACUCCGUCAUGUGAUCAAUCACAUGACUCCAGAGCACUAACUUCACACCUGUACACAUCAUUACUUCCUCUUUACAUCACCUGAUCUGAUCACACUCUUCAAAUCAUUUCAGACCGACCUUUAUUGGAAUUUUAUUUUGCCCCACCCCUAGCGGAAAUGAGCUGCUCAUCUCCGGCCCUUUUCCUUAAAAGAGUACUUGUAAUUGAGCUGUAAUUAGAUAUGAGUGAGUAAAGUUGGUAUGAAUGAAGAGGAAAACAUCCACAAAAACAAACUCCAUCAUAACCCAGGAUAAAGUGCUUACUGCAGAAUAAAUGAAUGAAUGAAUGAUAUUGUCUAAGCCACAACCUUUGUUUCUAGGUAUUAAAUUUUCACUACAGGGCUAAGGGCUCACCGUUAUUGGGUAAGCACACUGUGCUUGGGCGUUGCAUUUAAUAAAACAGGAAAGGAGUUAGGAUGGCUAUCGUCAUUGAAGUUAAGAUGGAGGAGGAGUCUGUGGGUGUGUAUAAAUGUGUGUGUAUGGGCCACAACAUUUGCAUUCUUGAUUGCUUCCUUAUUGCUUCAAAUGACUUCUUUGGCUAAGGAAAUACUUUUUUUUUUUUUUUUUACUGUUAAAUCAGAUUGAUUUUUGGAAUGUCUGCCAGAAUUUAGCAUUUCUAUUAGCAUUUAUUUUAAGAUUUGGACAUCCAUUUGUAAAAAUUAUUCUGUGAGGAAUACUACUUCUAAUCCAGUGACUGCUGUCCAGAGGGAAUUAUCUAUUUUUUGAAAAAAAUAAAGACAUUGGGGCAGUGGUAGCUCAAGUGGUUAAGGCUCUGGGUCAUUUACCAGGAGAUCAGGGUUCAAGCCCCCAGCACUGCCAAGCUGCCACUGUUGAGUAAGGCCCCCAACCCACACUGGCUGACCCUGAACUCUGACCCCAACCCCCAAGGAUGGGAUAUGCAGAGAAAGUGCUGUAAUGUAUGUGAAAAAGAAUAAUUUCCCUCUUUCCUUCUGCCUAGUUGCAGCCCACUGGAAGUAAUUUUUUUGUUUCUCACAGCAUUAUGUUUAAACCCUCGGGACGAUUCUGUCUGAAAAUCCCAGGAGAUACUCAACUCUUGUAAACCUCCUGGCCAUUUAAAGGACUUUGUUUUGUAUGAAUGUAACUGCUACUCUCCCUGUGGUUAGGAGAGUUAAAAUUCGGCUGGCUUUUAAACAAAAAAGAACAAGAAGGAAGAAAGUGUAAUACUGAGCUUUAUGUUUGUUAUGUGUGUGCACCGAUGUUUAUGGCUUAUAACUGUUUACAUCAUUCUUGUUCUUGAAUAUAAAUGGGAACAUUUAUUCUAAAAAGGGGAGGGGGGGCAUAUGUAACAGACUUAACUGCUUGAUUACUUAAGUUGUGGUAACCGUUGUUGUCCUGACACUCAUUUUGUGUGUGUGUGUCCGUGUGUGUGUGUGUGUGUGUCCGUGUGUGUGUGCAUGUGUGUGUGUGUGUGUGUGUGUGUGAAUGCAUAUUUUCUUUCGGGGCUCACCGUAAUUGGGUAAGCACACUGUGCUUGGGCGUUGCAUUUAAUAAAACAGGAAAGGAGUUAGGAUGGCUAUCGUCAUUGAAGUUAAGAUGGAGGAGGAGUCUGUGGGUGUGUAUAAAUGUGUGUGUAUGGGCCACAACAUUUGCAUUCUUGAUUGCUUCUUUAUUGCUUCAAAUGACUUCUUUGGCUAAGGAAAUACUUUUUUUUUUUUUUUUUACUGUUAAUCAGAUUGAUUUUUGGAAUGUCUGCCAGAAUUUAGCAUUUCUAUUAGCAUUUAUUUUAAGAUUUGGACAUCCAUUUGUAAAAAUUAUUCUGUGAGGAAUACUACUUCUAAUCCAGUGACCGCUGUCCAGAGGGAAUUAUCUAUUUUUUGAAAAAAAUAA
RNA transcript from Hemibagrus wyckioides, 2066 nucleotides. RefSeq lists it as uncharacterized. The record is from RefSeq and is a predicted model, not a curated record. The transcript is spliced from 2 exons. NCBI's taxonomy places the organism in Eukaryota, Metazoa, Chordata, Actinopteri, Siluriformes, Bagridae.